This 239-nucleotide ribosomal RNA is filed under the name uncultured bacterium. Its description in RNAcentral is "partial 16S ribosomal RNA". It matches the Rfam family "Bacterial small subunit ribosomal RNA", at positions 116 to 354 of the family's 1533-position model. The record is from RNAcentral.
CGUGAGUAACCUGCCCUGGAGUGGGGAAUAACAGCUGGAAACAGCUGCUAAUACCGCAUAAUGCAGUUGGGCCGCAUGGCUCUGACUGCCAAAGAUUUAUCGCUCUGGGAUGGACUCGCGUCUGAUUAGCUAGUUGGUGGGGCAACGGCCCACCAAGGCGACGAUCAGUGGCCGGACUGAGAGGUUGGCCGGCCACAUUGGGACUGAGACACGGCCCAGACUCCUACGGGAGGCAGCAG